GUAGGUGAACCUGCGGAAGGAUCAUUACAAAUCCACGUCUCUCACCGAGACAAGUCGAAACGUGUUGAGAGGUGGUCUCUACUUGUGCGCAUUCCCUUGGGAUACACACUCGUGUCUCGACCUCUUGACUCACUUUAACUACUUUGUUGUUCAGUCGUAUAAAUUAACAUUAUACACAACUUAUAACAAUGGAUCUCUAGGCUCUUGCAUCGAUGAAGAACGCAGCAUCUGACUGACUUGGGAUGCAUGC
RNAcentral lists this unclassified non-coding RNA (250 nucleotides) under plant metagenome. Its description in RNAcentral is "partial contains small subunit ribosomal RNA, internal transcribed spacer 1, and 5.8S ribosomal RNA". The stretch from base 178 to 250 matches the Rfam family "5.8S ribosomal RNA", at positions 1 to 56 of the family's 154-position model. The record is from RNAcentral.